Molecule: ribosomal RNA, 294 nt
Filed under: Odontella aurita
Lineage: Eukaryota; Bacillariophyta; Thalassiosirophyceae; Eupodiscales; Odontellaceae
Description: partial Bacterial small subunit ribosomal RNA
Rfam family: Bacterial small subunit ribosomal RNA
Source: RNAcentral
UUUAGAACUGGCAGACUAGAGUCUUGGAGAGGGGAGUGGAAUUCCAGGUGUAGCGGUGAAAUGCGUAGAUAUCUGGAGGAACAUCAGUGGCGAAGGCGACUCCCUGGCCAAAGACUGACGCUCAUGUGCGAAAGUGUGGGUAGCGAACAGGAUUAGAUACCCUGGUAGUCCACACCGUAAACGUUGGGCGCUAGGUGUGGGGUCCAUUCCACGGAUUCCGUGCCGCAGCUAACGCAUUAAGCGCCCCGCCUGGGGAGUACGGCCUCAAGGCUAAAACUCAAAGGAAUUCACGGG